AACGCACGAGACCUGCGGACCUGCGGAAGGAUCAUUACUGUAACGGGGCGCACCCGCUCGCUUCGGCGGGCGUGGGAGCGCCCUUGCCUUACAACCCUUGUCUAUGAGCACCUCUUGUUUCCUCGGCGGGUCCGCCCGCCAGAGGACCUACCCAAAACCCUUUGCAAUACCUGCAGUACUGUCUGAUAGCGAAAGCAAUUUAAAUCAAAACUUUCAGCAACGGAUCUCUAGAUCGGAAGA
This 240-nucleotide unclassified non-coding RNA is filed under the name soil metagenome. Its description in RNAcentral is "partial contains 5.8S ribosomal RNA, internal transcribed spacer 2, and large subunit ribosomal RNA". The record is from RNAcentral.